RNAcentral lists this ribosomal RNA (475 nucleotides) under uncultured Ralstonia sp. RNAcentral's name for it is "bacterial SSU rRNA". It matches the Rfam family "Bacterial small subunit ribosomal RNA", at positions 46 to 510 of the family's 1533-position model. The record is from RNAcentral. Lineage: Bacteria; Pseudomonadati; Pseudomonadota; Betaproteobacteria; Burkholderiales; Burkholderiaceae.
GCCUUACACAUGCAAGUCGAACGGCAGCAUGAUCUAGCUUGCUAGAUUGAUGGCGAGUGGCGAACGGGUGAGUAAUACAUCGGAACGUGCCCUGUAGUGGGGGAUAACUAGUCGAAAGAUUAGCUAAUACCGCAUACGACCUGAGGGUGAAAGUGGGGGACCGCAAGGCCUCAUGCUAUAGGAGCGGCCGAUGUCUGAUUAGCUAGUUGGUGAGGUAAAGGCUCACCAAGGCGACGAUCAGUAGCUGGUCUGAGAGGACGAUCAGCCACACUGGGACUGAGACACGGCCCAGACUCCUACGGGAGGCAGCAGUGGGGAAUUUUGGACAAUGGGGGCAACCCUGAUCCAGCAAUGCCGCGUGUGUGAAGAAGGCCUUCGGGUUGUAAAGCACUUUUGUCCGGAAAGAAAUCGCACUUACUAAUAUUAGGUGUGGAUGACGGUACCGGAAGAAUAAGGACCGGCUAACUACGUGCCA